CAGGAAUCCAUACAUGCAGCUCAGGGGAAUGCUGAAGAAGAGAUCUGGGAAAAAAUAGAGGAUAACACAAUCAAGUGAGGAAGGAAAAUGACGUGGUGUCUAAAGUGGAAAUCUGUCUUUCUGUCAACAAGGAAAGAUAAUUCAGACCCUGCAUGGUAUAUAUGUUUGUUGCCAUUGCUGCUGCAGAAGAAGAGGCCCAAAAUGGCUCAGUAUGAUAGGAAAUGCAGAAAGUGGUAAACAACAGAAAAGGAGCUGUUCCAUGUUCCCAGACAGAAGGAAAGAAGGCAGUCCAACACAACAUAUAUUCUCUCUUGUGCUCAAUAAUUUUCCCCUGGGACUUCAUGGAGAGAGACCUAUAUAAAUCCUCUGUGCAAUCUUACUCUGUUUCCCCCAGUAGAGAGCUCUUCAUCAGCAUGCUUUUAUUGGAAUUUGCAAAAUUAGGUGCAAAACAAUAACUACUGGCAAACAUAUCAUUCUCUUUCUGUUCCAUAAAGUCUGCACAAUCAUAUAAGCCAAACAGCA
Molecule: long non-coding RNA, 522 nt
Organism: Zonotrichia leucophrys gambelii
Lineage: Eukaryota; Metazoa; Chordata; Aves; Passeriformes; Passerellidae
Exons: 3
Source: RefSeq, a predicted model, not a curated record